GACGAACGCUGGCGGCGUGCUUAACACAUGCAAGUCGAACGGAAAGGCCCUGCUUUUGUGGGGUGCUCGAGUGGCGAACGGGUGAGUAACACGUGAGUAACCUGCCCUUGACUUUGGGAUAACUUCAGGAAACUGGGGCUAAUACCGGAUAUGAUCUCCUGCUGCAUGGUGGGGGUUGGAAAGUUUCGGCGGUUGGGGAUGGACUCGCGGCUUAUCAGCUUGUUGGUGGGGUAGUGGCUUACCAAGGCUUUGACGGGUAGCCGGCCUGAGAGGGUGACCGGCCACAUUGGGACUGAGAUACGGCCCAGACUCCUACGGGCGGCAGCAGUGGGGAAUAUUGCACAAUGGGCGGAGGCCUGAUGCAGCAACGCCGCGUGCGGGAUGACGGCCUUCGGGUUGUAAACCGAUUUCGCCUGUGACGAAGCGUGAGUGACGGUAAUGGGUAAAGAAGCACCGGCUAACUACGUG
Molecule: ribosomal RNA, 468 nt
Filed under: uncultured bacterium
Lineage: Bacteria
Description: partial 16S ribosomal RNA
Rfam family: Bacterial small subunit ribosomal RNA
Source: RNAcentral